AGGAGAGUUUGAUCCUGGCUCAGGAUGAACGCUAGCUACAGGCUUAACACAUGCAAGUCGAGGGGCAGCAUGAUCAAAGCUUGCUUUGAUUGAUGGCGACCGGCGCACGGGUGAGUAACGCGUAUCCAACCUUCCCCUUAGUAGGGCAUAGCCCGUAGAAAUGCGGAUUAAUACCCUAUGUUUUCCAAUGAGGACAUCUGAGCUGGAACAAAGGUUUACCGCUAAGGGAUGGGGAUGCGUCUGAUUAGCUUGUUGGCGGGGUAACGGCCCACCAAGGCUACGAUCAGUAGGGGUUCUGAGAGGAAGGUCCCCCACAUUGGAACUGAGACACGGUCCAAACUCCUACGGGAGGCAGCAGUGAGGAAUAUUGGUCAAUGGGCGAGAGCCUGAACCAGCCAAGUAGCGUGCAGGACGACGGCCCUAUGGGUUGUAAACUGCUUUUGUGCGGGAAUAAAGUCAUCCACGUGUGGAUGUUUGCAUGUACCGCAAGAAUAAGGACCGGCUAAUUCCGUGCCAGCAGCCGCGGUAAUACGGAAGGUCCGGGCGUUAUCCGGAUUUAUUGGGUUUAAAGGGAGCGCAGGCCGCCUUUUAAGCGUGACGUGAAAUGUACGGGCUCAACCGGUGCAGUGCGUCGCGAACUGGAGGGCUUGAGUGCGGACGAGGCAUCCGGAAUUCGUGGUGUAGCGGUGAAAUGCUUAGAUAUCACGAAGAACUCCGAUUGCGAAGGCAGGGUGCCAGGCCGUUACUGACGCUAAAGCUCGAAAGUGCGGGUAUCGAACAGGAUUAGAUACCCUGGUAGUCCCCU
This 805-nucleotide ribosomal RNA is filed under the name uncultured Bacteroidota bacterium. Its description in RNAcentral is "bacterial SSU rRNA". It matches the Rfam family "Bacterial small subunit ribosomal RNA", at positions 1 to 799 of the family's 1533-position model. Lineage: Bacteria; Pseudomonadati; Bacteroidota. The record is from RNAcentral.